Molecule: ribosomal RNA, 253 nt
Filed under: uncultured bacterium
Lineage: Bacteria
Description: partial 16S ribosomal RNA
Rfam family: Bacterial small subunit ribosomal RNA
Source: RNAcentral
UACGAAGGUGGCAAGCGUUACUCGGAAUUACUAGGCGUAAAGGGCAGGUAGGUGGUCUGAUAAGUCUGCUGUGUAAGCUCCUGGCUUAACUGGGAGAGGCCAACAGAAACUAUCAGGCUUGAGUAUAGGAGAGGAUACUGGAAUUCCCGGUGUAGCGGUGAAAUGCGCAGAGAUCGGGAGGAACACCAAUGGCGAAAGCAGGUAUCUGGACUAUUACUGACACUCAGCUGCGAAAGCUAGGGGAGCAAACAGG